Molecule: non-coding RNA, 109 nt
Filed under: Scleropages formosus (Asian bonytongue)
Lineage: Eukaryota; Metazoa; Chordata; Actinopteri; Osteoglossiformes; Osteoglossidae
Description: Eukaryotic large subunit ribosomal RNA
Rfam family: Eukaryotic large subunit ribosomal RNA
Source: Rfam by way of RNAcentral
CCUUCAAUGUUGGCGCUUCCUAUCAUUGUGAAGCAGAAUUCACUAAGUGUUAGAUAGUUCACCCACUAAUAGGGAUAGUGAGUUGGAUUAGAUCGUUGUGAGACAGGUU